UUAGCACCUUCAAAGACUUCUGCUUUCUGGAGAUACUUUAACAAAGAAGUCAUAAUGGAAUCCGUGUCCAGAGUCAGACUUCUGCCCACUGCAAAGCUGCAAGGCCACGCUCACCCCAGACCCAGAAUUCCACGACCUCCCUGUGAGAACCUAGGUGCAAUGGCUUAUCUUAUUUGGUGAGAGAACAUGGUUCUUGUGAAAACACAAGCCAUUGCCAGUAUGAACGGGUUACCACUACAGCGUGGAGAUCCUCUGCCUCUUAGUCAUCUGUGAGCAUCAGCGGACAUGACUGUGAGCAACGAGCACAAUCUGAAAGACUCAAAGCCACCGCACGUGUCUGGGUAAACUCCCAUAGAAGGUGAUGUCGCAGAGGAGAAAGCAUCCUCAGUAAAUGGAUAUUUCUGUUCCCCAGACAGCAUUGCCAGCAUCCCAGAGCAGCCAUGUUCCUGAUAUUCUGUUUGUUUAAUGUCUGGCAACUGCUUGGAUUUAAUGACUUGGGCAUACACAGCUAUCCACACAGAUUAGAGAAUGUGUCUAUUUGGGUGAGGAUAAAGAGAAAUUGAAGUAUCUGUGCAUCCAGGAUGGAAGAAGCAUCAAUGCCACUGUGACUACAUAAUGCUCUGCUAAAAUGUUUGAGGGGCUCUACCGUGUUGCCCUCCAAUUCAGAGUUGGUACAACCACAGGCGCCUUGGCUGAUAGGAGCAGGAAGGGAGCCAUACUGGAGCUAGUGAUGCCGAAUGGGCGGGCUGCUGCUGCCCUGCAGUGGGGAUUGUUGAAACAGCAGCCAGAGAAGAGGAUUCUCCAGCCGCCAGCCAGGGAGGAAACAGGAAAUAUUUACUGUCUACAAUCCCUGUUUUCCGUUCGCUCUCAUGAACCACACAAGAAACAGCAAGUGAGGGAAGCCUUCCCCUACUCCAGCUGCGCUGUGCAGCGUAAAGAGUACGGGGAAUAUGACGGAAAGGGAAAGACACAUUUCACUUGGUUGCUUUACCUCGUCUUCCUGGAUUGCUAGUUUUGUGGGGUUCCUAAUAAGAUCGGUCUGUAGAAGCCAAAUCUACAUGUGGCUUCUGUUUUGCUUUCUUAUACUGUUCGUUGAUUUUUGUAGUCCUAGACAUGGAAGCUUGUAAAUACUAAUUCACAUCCACAGACUCCUAUACACACUUUUGUACUAGAAACAGAAUGACAAAUCCCAAGAUAUGUUGCUUUGGGGUAUAAAAGCUAUCUCAAUCUGUGGCAAA
This is a long non-coding RNA of Mesocricetus auratus (golden hamster), 1238 nucleotides long. RefSeq lists it as uncharacterized. The transcript is spliced from 2 exons. The record is from RefSeq and is a predicted model, not a curated record. Lineage: Eukaryota; Metazoa; Chordata; Mammalia; Rodentia; Cricetidae.